Molecule: ribosomal RNA, 773 nt
Filed under: Limnonectes blythii (giant mountain frog)
Lineage: Eukaryota; Metazoa; Chordata; Amphibia; Anura; Dicroglossidae
Description: partial 16S ribosomal RNA
Rfam family: Bacterial large subunit ribosomal RNA
Source: RNAcentral
CAUUUCUAUAUCUUAAACCCUUUCUCACUAUUAAGUAAUUUUAUAUUAAUAUAAAAGUCUUCAUGCUAAAACUAGUAACAAGAAAUUGAAUUUCUCCUAAAUAUAAGCAUAAGCCAAAAUAGACAAACCAUCGGCAAUUAACGUUUCUUAACCCACUAUAGCAACCCCCCAAGAAAACACUACAACUACUCACGUUAACCUAACACAAGUAUAUUACAGGAAAGAUUAAAAGAAAGGGAAGGAACUCGGCAAACUUUAACCCCGCCUGUUUACCAAAAACAUCGCCUCUUGAUGAAAUAUAAGAGGUCCAGCCUGCCCAGUGACCACUUAAACGGCCGCGGUAUCCUAACCGUGCAAAGGUAGCAUAAUCAUUUGUUCUUUAAAUAAGGACUCGUAUCAACGGCAUCACGAGGGUUAUACUGUCUCCCCCCUCUAAUCAGUGAAACUGACCUCCCCGUGAAGAGGCGGGGAUUUUUAUACAAGACGAGAAGACCCCAUGGAGCUUUAAACCCAAUAAUAUUCUCUAACUAUGUUCUUCCUCAAAGUUAUAAAGUUAUUAUCUAUUGGUUUUAGGUUGGGGUGACCGCGGAGUAAAACAAAACCUCCUUGACGAACAGGUCUAAUCCUAAUCCAAGAGCCACUGCUCUAAGAAUCAAAAAUUUGACGUAAUAUGAUCCGGCAACCGAUCAACGAANNAAGUUACCCUGGGGAUAACAGCGCAAUCCAUUUCGAGAGCUCUUAUCGACAAAUGGGUUUACGACCUCGAUGUUGGA